RNAcentral lists this long non-coding RNA (1291 nucleotides) under Solanum lycopersicum (tomato). RNAcentral's name for it is "long non-coding RNA (SLYC_LNC000439)". Lineage: Eukaryota; Viridiplantae; Streptophyta; Magnoliopsida; Solanales; Solanaceae. The record is from RNAcentral.
UCAAAAAUAAGGUUACGUUAAGUUUAUUAGAGGACAUCCCUUAAUUACAAAUGACAUCCGUAUCAUACAUGCAACUCAUAACAAAAUUGAUGCUACUAUACUUUCUUCUAUGACUGAGAAAUCCCAAGUCCAAACAACAUUAACAGUACUCUAAAACAGCACUUGCUAUAAUUUGAAAGUACAUAUCGGAACACAACAAAAUUGCAAUCUUUCAAUAUCAGGAAGACGAAAGCACUCUUAAAGCUUGGAAAUAACAAAAUAGAAUGUAGCAGGAGACAGGUAGCAAGAUGUAAUUGACUUGCAUCAUGCUGUUUAAUACUGACCAUUCAUCUAUGCUUCGGAAACUUGAACAUCCCUCACUUCAAUUUUAAGAGAGAGUUCACCAUAUGAAGCAACACAUAAACAACAAGAAUUAAAAAAAAAAACUGAGAAGUGAACUUCUGAGGAAACAUUUCCACAAGACGGACGGAAUUUUGAUAAUUAAAUGUUGCAAUCCAACUAUCAAGCAAACUAGAUAAAAAAAACCAGUUUACUUAAAUCACUAAAGGACUUUGGAUUGAUAUCAUUCUAUGCUUUCCUUGACACGUCCAUCGGACAUUAAUAGGUCAAUGCACGCAACGCCUCAGAAAGCAAUAUAUAUUACCAAUUCAAAUUUACUAGAGUCACAGCUUAUGUGUAUUCAUUACAACAACAUACCACAUGUAAUACCACCUACAACAAUCUUGAAUUGCAACCACCAUACACCAAUACAAAGGUAACAAACUAGAAGCACUUACCAAAGAUCAUACUACUAAUUUGGUAUUUAUCAAAUACUGAUCAUAAAACCCUAAACAGCACUUGCUAUAAUCUGAAAGUAAAUAUCAGAACAACUAAACUGCAUUCAUUCAAUCUCAUGAAGAAAGAAUUUUCCUAAAGCUUGGAAAUGACAAAAUAGGAUGUAGCAGGAGACAGGUAGCAAAAUGCAAUUGAAAUACACCAUGCUGUUUGAUACUGACUAUUCAUUUAUGCUUCGGAAACUUGAACAUCCCUCACUUAAAGUUUAAGAGAGAGUUCACCAUAUGAAGCAACACACAAUUAUUAAGAACAAAAACUAAAGUCACUUCUAAGGGAACAGUUACACAAGACACAGACGAAUUCUGAUCAUGUUGCAAUCCAACUAUCAAGCAAACUAGACAAGAAAACAGUUCACUUAACUCACUGUAGGACUUCGGAUUGACAUCAUUAUAUGCUUUCCUUGACACAUCCAUCGAAUAUUCAUAGGUCAAUGCACGCAACGCCUCAGAAAGCAAUA